Molecule: long non-coding RNA, 961 nt
Filed under: Homo sapiens (human)
Lineage: Eukaryota; Metazoa; Chordata; Mammalia; Primates; Hominidae
Description: non-protein coding SRRM2-AS1:20
Source: RNAcentral
GCGCAGGCGCCGAAGCCACACCGCGAAGUACCGUUUUUUCAGGCACAAGGAAGGUUUCACCCCGUUGCCGAAAGACUAAGCGUCCCGUUGGCCAGUGCAACGAAGAACGGAGGAAGCGACAAGAUUUCAGUUUGUAAGUAGUGAGAGCAAUGAUCUUGGCUUUGCAUGGUGCUCAGGAAGCCUUCCCCGCUCCCAAACCAGAAAGGAAUCCAUCCAGAUUUUCCUCCACUGUCUGGAUGGCCGCUCUGUGGAUGCUUCCAUCUGUAUCCAUUGCCGGCACCUGGUGAGAUUCCGUCUCUAGAGCCUUUGAGGUCACUCCUGACGCUGACAUGGCUGUGAAGAGCUGGGUGCCAGGCAUUACUGCCUCCAAGGUUGCUUUGCGAGGAAUAGGUGGGGCAUCAGGAAGAAGCCAGUUGCAGGCAAGGCCUCUGCUGAUGCUGCUUUUUUCUCCUGUACCCAUCCAUGGGAGGGAGCUGUGAGAUGGCCUGGCAGAACCCGCUCUUGGACCCCACAGAAUGAGAGGCUCACCCUGCACAGGAACAUCCUGGGGCAGCAGGCUCAGCACAUUUUAAAUUUUGAGUAUGAACAAAGUAAACUUCAGGGUUAAAAAAAAACACAAAAAUUUGUCGAGCACACAAUGAUUGAGUGCCUAUGGUAUACCUGACGCUUUGCCAUAUCCAGGCUUCAAACCUCAGGGUUCUGGGUCCUUUGAGGCCCAGCUCCAACCCCACCUCACCCAAGCACUCUCCACCCCCACCACGUAACCUUACCAGGGCUGCCCAGCUUGGGUCAUCUCAGACCACUUGGGCCCCUCAGGCCUCACGCCCUGAGCCCCUCAGCCUGGAAACCAGCCUGGACACUAUGGGGGCCCCUGAGGUUUCCACCUCCUGCUGCCCUUGGCCUGAAAGGGGUCAGUGGGACCCCGCCUUGGGCCUCUGGGAGGCUGUACCUUUGCUUCUGC